AUACGGAGGGUGCAAGCGUUGCUCGGAAUCACUGGGCGUAAAGCGCGCGCAGGCGGCUAUUUAAGUUGGAUGUGAAAGCCUAUGGCUCAACCAUAGAACUGCAUCCAAAACUAUUUAGCUAGAGUGUGGGAGAGGAAGAUGGAAUUAGUUGUGUAGGGGUAAAAUCCGUAGAGAUAACUAGGAAUACCAAAAGCGAAGGCAAUCUUCUGGAACACUACUGACGCUGAGGCGCGAAAGCGUGGGGAGCAAACAGGAUUAGAAACCCUAGUAGUCC
Molecule: ribosomal RNA, 274 nt
Filed under: uncultured bacterium
Lineage: Bacteria
Description: partial 16S ribosomal RNA
Rfam family: Bacterial small subunit ribosomal RNA
Source: RNAcentral